Molecule: ribosomal RNA, 250 nt
Filed under: uncultured prokaryote
Description: partial 16S ribosomal RNA
Rfam family: Bacterial small subunit ribosomal RNA
Source: RNAcentral
ACGUAGGUGGCAAGCGUUGUCCGGAAUUAUUGGGCGUAAAGCGCGCGCAGGCGGGAUAUCAAGUCUGUCUUAAAAGUGCGAGGCUCAACCUCGUGAGGGGACAGAAACUGGUAUUCUUGAGUGUCGGAGAGGAAAGUGGAAUUCCAAGUGUAGCGGUGAAAUGCGUAGAGAUUUGGAAGAACACCAGUGGCGAAGGCGACUUUCUGGACGAUGUCUGACGCUGAGGCGCGAAAGCUAGGGGAGCGAACGG